UCGCCUGUGAAGUCUGCUCCUUUGACGUUAGCGGCGGACGGGUGAGUAACACGUGGGUAACCUACCUAUAAGACUGGGAUAACUUCGGGAAACCGGAGCUAAUACCGGAUAACAUUUGGAACCGCAUGGUUCUAAAGUGAAAGAUGGUUUUGCUAUCACUAAUAGAUGGACCCGCGCCCUAUUAGCUAGUUGGUAAGGUAACGGCUUACCAAGGCGACGAUACGUAGCCGACCUGAGAGAGUGAUCGUCCACACUGGAACUGAGACACGGUCCAGACUCCUACGGGAGGCAGCAGUAGGGAAUCUUCCGCAAUGGGCGAAAGCCUGACGGAGCAACGGCGCGUGAGUGAUGAAGCGUUUCGGCUCGUAAAACUCUGAUAUUAGGGAAGAUCAAAUGUGUAAGUAACUGUGCACGUCUUGACGGUACCUAACCAGAAAGCCACGGCUAACUACGUGCCAGCAGCCGCGGUAAUACGUAGGUGGCAAGCGUUAUCCGGAAUUAUUGGGCGUAAAGCGCGCUUAGGCGGUUUCUUAAGUCUGAUGUGAAAGCCCACGGCUCAACCGUGGCGGGUCAUUGGAAACUGGGAAACUUGAGUGCAGAAGAGGACAGUGGAAUUCCAUGAGUAGCGGUGACAUGCGCAGAGAUAUGGAGGAACACCAGUGGCGAAGGCGACUUUCUGGUCUGUAACUGACGCUGAUGUGCGAAAGCGUGGGGAUCAAACAGGAUUAGAUACCUUGGUAGUCCACGCCGUAAUCGAUGAGUGCUAAGUGUUAGGGGGUUUCCGCCCCUUAGUGCUGCACCUAACGCAUUAAGCACUCCGCCUGGGGAGUACGACCGCAAGGUUGAAACUCAAAGAAAUUGACGGGGACCCGCACAAGCGGUAGAGCAUGUGGUUUAAUUCGAAGCAACGCGAAGAACCUUACCAAAUCUUGACAUCCUUUGAAAACUCUAGAGAUAGAGCCUUCCCCUCCGAGGGACAAAGUGACUGGUGGUGCAUGGUUGUCGUCAGCUCGUGUCGUGAGAUGUUAGGUUAAGUCCCGCAACGAGCGCUACCCUUAAGCUUAGUUGCCAUCAUUAACUUGGGCACUCUAGGUUGACUGCCGGUGACAAACCGGAGGAAGGUGGGGAUGACGUCAAAUCAUCAUGCCCCUUAUGAUCUGGGCUACACACGUGGUACAAUGGAUGAUACAAAGGACAGCUAAACCGCGAGGUCAUGCAAAUCCCAUAAAGUUGUCCUCAGUUCGGAUUGUAGUCUGCAACUCCACUACAUGAAGCUAGAAUCGCUAGUACUCGUAGAUCAGCGUGCUACGGUGAAUACGUUCCCGGGUCUUGUACACACCGACCGUCACACCACGAGAGUUUGUAACACCCGAAGCCGGUGUUGUAACCAUUUAUGGAGCUAGCCGUCGAAGCUGGGACAAAUGAUUGAUAACGC
RNAcentral lists this ribosomal RNA (1435 nucleotides) under Staphylococcus saprophyticus. Its description in RNAcentral is "bacterial SSU rRNA". It matches the Rfam family "Bacterial small subunit ribosomal RNA". Lineage: Bacteria; Bacillati; Bacillota; Bacilli; Caryophanales; Staphylococcaceae. The record is from RNAcentral.